Molecule: small nuclear RNA, 148 nt
Organism: Rattus norvegicus (Norway rat)
Lineage: Eukaryota; Metazoa; Chordata; Mammalia; Rodentia; Muridae
Product: U4 spliceosomal RNA
Source: Ensembl
AGCUUUGCGCAGUGGCAGUAUCGUAGCCAAUGAGGUUUAUCCGAGGUGCGAUUAUUGCUAAUUGGAAAUACACCAGUACCAUAGGCAUGAAGCAUGCUACCAGGGCCACGGAAUUUUUACCUCACAGCCAUCUCAACUAGAUUAGAGG